RNAcentral lists this microRNA precursor (73 nucleotides) under Cebus imitator (Panamanian white-faced capuchin). RNAcentral describes it as "miRNA (ENSCCAG00000007103.1)". The record is from RNAcentral. Lineage: Eukaryota; Metazoa; Chordata; Mammalia; Primates; Cebidae.
GGUUGGUGCAAAAGUAACUGCGGUUUUUGCCACUACUUUUAAAUAGCAAAAACUACAAUUACUUUUGCACCAA